Molecule: long non-coding RNA, 255 nt
Filed under: Helianthus annuus (common sunflower)
Lineage: Eukaryota; Viridiplantae; Streptophyta; Magnoliopsida; Asterales; Asteraceae
Description: sRNA HanXRQr2_Chr03g0093251
Source: RNAcentral
UAAAUGGAAAACUGACAGGUAUGGCCUUUAACUUGUCAACUUGAGAAGAAGGCUUCUUAUGAAAAUGUUAAAGCUGCAGUCAAGUAUGCACUAUAAAACGGGUCGGUUUCAAGCAACAUAUGAUAUCAAUGACAUAAACAAAGGAGCUGUGCUGAUAUUUAUUUAGCGAUGAAGCUUAAAAUUAGACAAUGUAUGCAUUAAAAGCACCAUGACACAGAUCUGUGUACUUUAUAAUAUAUGUUUGCAUAACUUUAA